UCACUAUAAAUAAGAGGGUAGGCUUUCAGAUAAGUUAUUUUCAAAAUUGUUCUUUCUCUCAACCUUUUUUUUCUCAUUUAUAUUUUAUUGAAUUCUGACUGACUUGAACAUAGAAGUACGUUCGCUAGAAAAAUUCUGACAAGAAGCAAAUUACCAAGAAGCAGUGAUAGCCACGUAGGCUCGCAUAGCAAAUUAUGAGCUUACCGGCCUCAUGGUCACCUGGUUUUGCCGUCUCAGCCUGAUCUCGAAAUUCAGCAACAAUACAGACAAC
Molecule: long non-coding RNA, 271 nt
Filed under: Elaeis guineensis (African oil palm)
Lineage: Eukaryota; Viridiplantae; Streptophyta; Magnoliopsida; Arecales; Arecaceae
Description: long non-coding RNA (EGUI_LNC001035)
Source: RNAcentral